RNAcentral lists this long non-coding RNA (1683 nucleotides) under Trifolium pratense (red clover). RNAcentral describes it as "long non-coding RNA (TPRA_LNC002025)". Lineage: Eukaryota; Viridiplantae; Streptophyta; Magnoliopsida; Fabales; Fabaceae. The record is from RNAcentral.
CCUUUUUCAAUAUGAGCUUCUUCCGCUUCUAUAUCAGAAGGAAUGGAGUGGGAAUCUUCAGACUCGUGUGUCUCAUCUUCCAUAUGACUAGGAUUGGAACGAGUUUCUUCAACACCACUUCCUUGGGCAUGAAUUGAGGUUCUAAGAGUUUCUCCAACACUACUUCCUUGGGCAUCAGUUGAAGUUGUAUGAGUUUCUUCAACAUUACUUCCUUCGGCAUGAGUAGAGGUUGUUUGAGUAGCAUUACUUCCUUGGUUGGAUUCUUUUAAUAUGCGACGCCCAAUAUUUAAUUUUCUCGUCGUCCUUCCCAUUGCUGUAAUACUUUCAAUUUAGCAAGUGGGUGAUUAACAGAAACUUGAACUAGCUUUUGACAUAGAAUAACAAAUGAUAGAAAUAUAAUUUUUAAAUUAUGUAAACUUAAAAUAUCAACAAUUAGCAACAAUAUGAUGACCAUAAAAUACAAAGGGAAUGAAAAUAUAUAUAGAAAAAAAAUAAUGAGUAUCAAAUCAAAUUCAUUAACUAAACAAAAAGUCAAGUCUAAUUGCAUAGGAAAAGUAUAAACUCAUUGACAAUUAAAACAUAUCCUUCCCUUCUUCAUCCCCAUCCUCAACCAAAACUUAUGGUUUAGCAGGGGCAACCCAACCAAAACUGAUAGCAGAACAGAAUCAAUCCAACACUAAAAAAUUUCAAUCCUUGCCAUCUAUCUAAAAUUAAAUAACACCACCUAUAACACAACUCAAAACAAGAACACCUAUAGCAGUAGCAAAGAAAAACCAUUCCAACGCAUGAUAAUGCCAUCCUUUUUUUUUAACACUGAUAAUGUCAUUCCUUGAUAUCUAAAAUUUAAUAACCCCAUCUAUAAUAACAAUUCAAAAUAGCAUCACCUAUAGCAGCUAUACAAAUGGACUUAGCAGUUAGCACCAUCACAAUUAAUAGAUUUUAUAAUUUCAGUUCCACAAUGAUGAUAUGGCCUUAUUCAAUUGUUACGGAGCAUGUUAUCAACUACACAACUUAUAUCAACUAUGAAUUGAACUAGCAAUUAGAGAAAGGAUGAGAAAUAGUAAAAAGUAAAUGAAAGAUUGACUUCAAGCUACACAAAUCAAAGCAAAAUUGGGGAACACUUGAAACUAAAGCUAACCACAAAUUUAAGGAACAACAAAAUCAAUUAGGGUUUUUAUAUGAGAUUUGAGGAAGAACACACAAUUCAAAUUAAAGCUAAUGACAUACGUAAGGAGCGACAAAAUCAAUUGGGGAUUUUAUAUGAGAUUUGAGGAAAACACAAUUGAAAUUAAAGCUAACCACAUAUUUAAAAUUAGAAUACAAACCUUUCUUUUCUGCAGCAAUGGAGAGGAAUUGAGAGGGUUCCGGAAACAAUAGAGAAUUGAGAGGGUUUCUGCAACAAUGGAGAGAGCGACAGUUAACCUGAGAGCAGCGGAAGUGCCUUCGCGAAGAGCGAUAGUUAACAUGAGAACUUACCUCGCGAAGAAGGACGGCGAAGAAGGACGACUCACAGUGGGAGAGAGCGGCGGUUACUACUCUCAGUGGGAGACUGAAGGAUUAAUCAGUGGUUCUCAAAUUUAAGAAUGAAAUUUUCUCAAAUUUUUAGGGUUCACAUGUCCCGCCAAUGUGAAAAAGUAGUGGGAAAUAUUUUAUACUAAAAGAAAAAAGUAAUGAUAGAAGAAC